UAAGGAAUAUUGCUCAAUGGGAGAAAUCCUGAAGCAGCAACGCCGCGUGGAGGAUGAAGGGUCUAUGACUUGUAAACUCCUGUAAAGAAGGAAAAAAUUCCCAUUAGAUGGGAGAUGAUGGUACUUCUGGAGUAAGCCCCGGCUAACUACGUGCAAGCAGCCGCGGUAAUACGUAGGGGGCAAGCGUUGUCCGGAUUUACUGGGUGUAAAGGGUGCUCAGGCGGAUUUGUAAGUCAGAGGUGAAAUCUUACAGCUUAACUGUGAAACUGCCUCUGAUACUGCAAGCCUAGAGUAUGGAAGAGAGUGAUGGAAUAUCUGGUGUAGCAGUCAAAUGCGUAGAUAUCAGAUAGAACACCAAUGGCGAAGGCAGUCACUUGGUCCAUUACUGACGCUAAAGCACGAAAGCGUGGGUAGCAAACA
This 420-nucleotide ribosomal RNA is filed under the name uncultured bacterium. Its description in RNAcentral is "bacterial SSU rRNA". It matches the Rfam family "Bacterial small subunit ribosomal RNA", at positions 355 to 774 of the family's 1533-position model. The record is from RNAcentral.